This 334-nucleotide ribosomal RNA is filed under the name uncultured eukaryote. RNAcentral's name for it is "partial 18S ribosomal RNA". It matches the Rfam family "Eukaryotic small subunit ribosomal RNA", at positions 1470 to 1796 of the family's 1831-position model. The record is from RNAcentral.
CCCUUAGAUGUUCGGGGCCGCACGCGCGCUACACUGAAGGACUCAGCGUGUCUCUCCCCCUAUCCCGAAAGGGAUGGGCAACCCGUUGAACCUCCUUCGUGCUAGGGAUUGGGGUUUGCAAUUAUUCCCCAUGAACGAGGAAUUCCCAGUAAGCGCGAGUCAUAAGCUCGCGUUGAUUACGUCCCUGCCCUUUGUACACACCGCCCGUCGCUACUACCGAUUGAAUGGUUUAGUGAGAUCCUCGGAUUGGUCCCGCCACGGGAGGAAACUUUCGAGGCGGAGUGCCGAGAAGACGAUCAAACUUGAUCAUUUAGAGGAAGUAAAAGUCGUAACA